ACCCCUCCAUCUCACCGCCCCCCCGCGCCUCGUUUUCUCCUACUAGCUGCGGUCGCCGCUCGUUACUGUUCACUCUCCCUCCAGAUCUGGGGCCUAAUUUAUUGGAGGGUGGGUGAAGGCGCGCUUCCAAGGGGUGCUGCCUAGUUCGUACGACAUGCUGAGUGCCGCCUGAGCAUCCGAAUGAUAUUGUCUGCGCAAUGGCAGCAUAUUCAGGUGUCUGGUGCUCCAAGCUGUGGGAUUGUCCGGGUGAAUUUUUGGUGUCAGGCGACCAGACUGUAGUGUAUUGGAGAACGCCAGCUGCUCUUAUGCUUGUGUCAUCUUGUUUUUCGAUGGAUUAUCGGAAUUUGCUAGUGAAAGUGUUGUUAUGUCAUCUCACUGGGUGGCAAGUUGUUUACUUGUUUUCAUGUUUACAACCGUUGGAGGUGAUUGUGACCAAUGCAGUUGUUUUGUUGUUUC
This is a long non-coding RNA of Panicum virgatum (switchgrass), 456 nucleotides long. RefSeq lists it as uncharacterized. The transcript is spliced from 2 exons. Lineage: Eukaryota; Viridiplantae; Streptophyta; Magnoliopsida; Poales; Poaceae. The record is from RefSeq and is a predicted model, not a curated record.